CCAGACUCCUACGGGAGGCAGCAGUGGGGAAUAUUGCACAAUGGGGGAAACCCUGAUGCAGCGACGCCGCGUGAGUGAAGAAGUAUUUCGGUAUGUAAAGCUCUAUCAGCAGGGAAGAUAAUGACGGUACCUGACUAAGAAGCCCCGGCUAACUACGUGCCAGCAGCCGCGGUAAUACGUAGGGGGCAAGCGUUAUCCGGAUUUACUGGGUGUAAAGGGAGCGUAGGUGGCAGGGCAAGUCAGAUGUGAAAACCCGGGGCUCAACCCCGGGAGUGCAUUUGAAACUGUCCAGCUGGAGUGCAGGAGAGGUAAGCGGAAUUCCUAGUGUAGCGGUGAAAUGCGUAGAUAUUAGGAGGAACACCAGUGGCGAAGGCGGCUUACUGGACGACUACUGACGCUGAGGCUCGAAAGCGUGGGGAGCAAACAGGAUUAGAUACCCCUGUAC
RNAcentral lists this ribosomal RNA (445 nucleotides) under uncultured bacterium. RNAcentral's name for it is "bacterial SSU rRNA". It matches the Rfam family "Bacterial small subunit ribosomal RNA", at positions 331 to 793 of the family's 1533-position model. The record is from RNAcentral.